AAUUUAAGACACUUACCAAAUGGAUGUCUCGCAACAAUUGGCUCCGAUUUCAGGCCUUCCCCUACACCAUAUUUAUUUUCGGCACUGACCCUGAAGGUAUAUUCCAUGCCCUCAUGAAGUCUGGUUACUCUAAAGGUGGUUUUCUGGACAGCUGAGGCGCACGUCACCCACUUGUUGUUCACAGAAUCCCUCUUCUCUAGGAUAUAGUUGGUGAUUUCAGAACCUCCAUCAUCCUUUGGAGGAGCCCACUUUAAGGUCAUGGCUUCUGCUGUGACUUCAUCAAAUUUGAUUGGUCCAGUGGGGAUGCCAGGCUUGCCAACAACCUUUAUGGAGAUAGUUCCUUCCUUGGUGCCAGCAACAUUCUUAAGUGUGAUUGUGUAUUUUCCAGCAUCAGAUUUUUGGCAAUCGUACACUAUAAGAGUUGUGUUAACCGCAGAUGACUCAACACUGACUCUAGUGUCAGUUGCUAGAGGAUCUUCCCCUUUCUUCCAGGAGACUGAUGGAGCUGGCUUGCCUUUUAUGGGGAUCUUAAGCCGGAAGUUGCUGUUUUCUUUAGCCAAGUAGCACAAAUCAGGUAGACCCUUUAAGUCAAGAUCAGGAGCCACUGUAAAAUAGCAGAGAUAAAUUACUGUUAUUUUUAAGGCCAGGCGAUUAACUUUUUCAAAUAGUUCUAGCUUUUAACGGAUUUUUAGAUAAGCUAGUGAGUGGGACACAAGAGUGCACUUUCGAUGACAAUAAAGGAAAAAUGAAGAUGUGUGCAUAGAGCCUUACCAACAUCAUCCCUUGCCACAACAGUGAUUUCGCUUGGGGUUCCUUCUCCAUUUUCAUUCUCAGCACUCACUCUGAAGGUAUAUUCCUUCCCUUCAGUCAAAUCUUUUGCAGAGUACUGUAGGCUUAAGGAUUUCAUAACUCGUUGCCACUUAUUUUCUUCAGUCAGGAAAUCAACUACAUAUCCAAUAAUCCGACUUCCACCAUCACUGUGAGGCUUUUUCCAGCCAAUGCUACAGGAUGACUUAGAUACAGACCUCACUUUCAGGUCCACAACUGGUCCAGGAGUUUCUAAAGCAAAGGAGAAAUGAUAAGUGUAAGCCCCAUAUAACAAAGGAAGGAUAUAACUCAAAAUGAUGGGAUGAUGGUUCAUUUGCUUACGGGAAGCUUUGACAGCAUCACGAGUUUCACCGGGAUCACCAAUGCCAUACUCAUUUUCAGCAAACACUCGGAAGAAGUAGGAUUUUCCCUCCUCCAAAUUAGCUACUCUGAAGCUUGUUUUGGAGCACUCAGUUGUCACUGUAGACCAGGAUUUCCUCUCUGCAUCACGUUUUUGUACCACAUAGUUUAUGAUGGGGCUUCCGCCAUCAAUAAUGGGAGGCUCCCAGGUAACAUAAGCAGAGUCUUUGGAUAUUUCCUUAACAGUCACAUUGACAGGUGGCCCAGGAGUAUCUGGAUAAAUAGUAGGUAAAUAAGAAAUGAAUGUGUAAAAAAUACAUAAGCUAUUUUAAAAUAUAUAUGAUUCUUUUUUGAAAUAGACUUACCAAGCACUUUCACAACAAUGGUAUAUUCCUUUUUACCACAGCUGUUCUCCAGGGUUAAGAUAUAUUUUCCUGCAUCAUAUUUGUUCACAUUUUCACAGCGCAAGAAAGUGUCAAAGUCAGUUGACUUUAUGUCCAGUCCAAUCCUGUCUCUUAGAUUGACAUUUGGUUUAGACCAAGUAAUCUUUGGAGGUGGGCGUCCUUUUACUGGUACAUAUAGUCUCAUAGUAACUCCAGCACGUAAUAUGAGUGUCUUCCUUAAGUCCGCAUCAAGUUCUCCCUCAGGUGGAACUGUUUAAUUUUGGGUGAAGAAGUUAAAUAAAAAUUUAAUAGUCAAAUGUAUUUCCAGGGACUGGCCUUGUCACUCCUAAAAUACAUUUAUUUUCUAGAGCUGAUUUCUUGUUCUUUAAAACUUCCUUAAUACAAUCCUCAAAAUCAUUUUUCUGUUCUGUACUAAUUGUUGAUCUUUCCAUUUUCCACUAUGCUUUAGGCUUAACCAGGUUUUCCCCCCGGAGGAUCUGUACCUCCUCUUUCAUGAGCCUUAUGUACUCUGAAAUGCUACAUAUAUUAAAAGGAAAGUAGACGAUU
Molecule: long non-coding RNA, 2117 nt
Organism: Homo sapiens (human)
Lineage: Eukaryota; Metazoa; Chordata; Mammalia; Primates; Hominidae
Source: Ensembl